AGAGUUUGAUCCUGGCUCAGGAUGAACGCUGGCGGCAGGCCUAAUACAUGCAAGUCGAACGGGAUCUGAAGUAGCAAUACUUUGGUGAGAGUGGCGCACGGGUGCGUAACACGUAUGCAACCUACCUUUAACCGGUACACAACCCUCCGAAAGGGGGGCUAAUAUACCAUGUGAUUAAGAAGAGGCAUCUUUUUUAAUUAAAGAUUCAUUGGUUAAAGAUGGGCAUGCGGUCCAUUAGCUAGUUGGUGAGGUAACGGCUCACCAAGGCUAUGAUGGGUAGGGGUUCUGAGAGGAUAUACCCCCACACUGGUACUGAGACACGGACCAGACUCCUACGGGAGGCAGCAGUAAGGAAUAUUGGUCAAUGGGCGGAAGCCUGAACCAGCCAUGCCGCGUGCAGGAAGACGGCCCUAUGGGUUGUAAACUGCUUUUGUCAGGGGAUAAACCUACCCACGCGUUGGGUAGCUGAAGGUACCUGAAGAAUAAGGAUCGGCUAACUCCGUGCCAGCAGCCGCGGUAAUACGGAGGAUCCGAGCGUUAUCCGGAUUUAUUGGGUUUAAAGGGUGCGCAGGCGGACUGGUAAGUCAGGGGUGAAAUUCUACGGCUCAACUGUAGGCGUGCCUUUGAUACUGCCGGACUAGAGUUAAGUUGGAGUGGGCGGAAUGUGUUGCGUAGCGGUGAAAUGCUUAGAUAUAACACAGAACACCGAUCGCGAAGGCAGCUCACUAAACUUAGACUGACGCUCAUGCACGAAAGCGUGGGGAUCAAACAGGAUUAGAUACCCUGGUAGUCC
RNAcentral lists this ribosomal RNA (793 nucleotides) under uncultured bacterium. RNAcentral describes it as "bacterial SSU rRNA". It matches the Rfam family "Bacterial small subunit ribosomal RNA", at positions 8 to 796 of the family's 1533-position model. The record is from RNAcentral.